Macaca fascicularis (crab-eating macaque) is the source of this 4106-nucleotide long non-coding RNA. The record is from Ensembl. Lineage: Eukaryota; Metazoa; Chordata; Mammalia; Primates; Cercopithecidae.
UUUUUUUUUUUUUUUUUUUUUUUUAGAUGGAGUUUCGCUCUUGUUGCCCAGGCUGGAGUGCAGUGGCACAGUCUCAGCUCACUGCAACCUCCGCCUCCUCGGUUCAAGCAAUUCUCCUGUCUCAGCCCGAGAGUAGCUGGGAUUACAGGUGCCCGUCACCAUGCCCGGCUAAUUUUUGUAUUUAUAGUAGAGAUGGGGUUUCACCAUGUUGGCCAGGCUGGUCUCAAACUCCUGACCUUAGGUGAUCCACCUGCCUCGGCCUCCCAAAGUGCUGGGAUUACUGUUGUGAGCCACCGUGCCCAGCCUACUCAAGUGAUUUUUAAACCAAGGUGUGUGUGUGUACAUGGAGGUAUUUGUACACACAUGCACACAUGCGCAUGCACAGUCUCAUCUUAGCCGGGCAUGGUGAUGGCAUCACAUUUAACUCCAAAAAUUUGACGUGCUAUUUUCUUCUAAAACUGUAGAUGCUUUUAUUUUUGGUCACUAUUUAACUUUGUGUAAAGUGGACCAAGCGAAAACCAUAUUGUGGAAGAAAAUUUUUCACAUGUUUUAGUAUCCGUGUUGCACACUGUGUUAGAGAUUAUGAAAAUGAUUCUAGUUCAGUUUAUCACCCAAAGCUAUCACCCAAUACUAAUUCCUUAGUAUUCUUUCAAAUGAAGCAAAUAGAAAGAUUCACAAUAUAGAAUGAGCUAAAAUAUCAAGGAGAAAGUUUCAUUUCCUCUUUAUUCUCACAGCGUCCUUCCUGUUUUAACCUUUUAACUUUGUUUUGAUGGUGCCAAGUUGAGUCUGAUGUACCCAUUGUUAGCUUUGGAUAGAAUUUAAAGUAUAUCCCAAAAUUAGCCGGGCAUGUUGGUGCAUGCCUGUAACCCCAGCUGCUCAGGAGGCAAAGAGAAUCGCUUGAACCCGGGAGGCGGAGGUUGCAAUGAGCUGAGAUUGCACCGUUGCACUUCAGCCUGGGAGACAAGAGCGAAACUCUGUCUCAAAAAAAAAGAAUUUAAAGUAUAUUCUUUGAGGUCAUUUUAUGUAACAAUUAGAUAUAACCUCCUGUGUAUCUCUCUGUUCCUCUUCAAAGUUAUUAAAAUUCAGCUUAGGUCAUGGAUUUUUAAUAUGAGGGGCAGCUGUACUGGUUUCAGGUAGGUGUUUUGAGUGUAGAUAGUUUAGGACUGGAGGGCUGGGUUAAGUUUUAGGAGUGAGAAUGUACUUGAGAAUAUUUUGAAAGGAAUUUAUGAAGUUUGUGAAAUAACUUACAAGUCCUCUUCCUUUGCAAUAUUUGAAUUCCAUUUUUCUACCUUCUCAAAAUAGUCAUUCAUUUUUCCUAGAAUUGCAGGAGGGAGCUCUCUCUUUUAUUAAUGUUGUUUGUUUGCAACUUUGAUGGCUUAUAACAGGAAGUUUUCUAGUUGUAAAGAAAACUCUUUAGAGACUUUUGACUGGUCAGUAUACUAUCAUCUGAGGUGUAAGAUUUGAUUCAUGAUGAAGAAAGCCUAUAGAUUGCCAAAAAAUUAAUGCUCCAAAUCUCCUUUCACUCUCAGAAAAUGAGACCACAAAGGAGUAUGCUAUAAAUCAAAUUUGCCAACCAACUAUGUAGAUAUUACUCAUUCUAGGACUAAUGAUGAUGGUAAAGAAGUUGCCAUUGUUAUGGCAACGAAAAUUUUAAAAGGAAGGAGUCGGUGAUCUUCUAGAUGUAUAUGAACACCUGUCUGUAUCUGCAUGUGUAUGUUUUGACCUGCAGUGGUUGCAGUGUUGAUUAUGUGUUCAAGAUUAUUCCUGUCUACAAAAUUGAAGGCCCUUGUUCAAAUUGUUCUUUAUUGGGUGUUUUUAUGGUCACGUGGUUACAAUUUUCUUACAUAACCUACAAAAGGUUCUCUUGAUGAACAUUUUUAUUUAUAUUUACUAAUUUUUUUAAAAAAGCUUUCAUAGCAUUAUUUAAUCAAAUGAAGAAAGCCCAGUAGAAUUUUAAAAAAAAAUCAUUAUCCUAGCCUAUAUUAUGGUUUCUGUCAAAGGAAAACAAAUUCUCAAAUAGCAGUUCUAAAAAUAGAUUUACCAAAGUAAAAUAAUUACUUAAAAUGUUUUAUUCCAGUUGGAAGGAAGGUACAGGGAGAGAUCGCAAUUAUUUAGGGGAGAAGUAUAUUUAUUAUAAGAUAGUAUACUCAAAUUAGCCUACCAUGGCACGUAGGGGCAGCAGCUAUAUUAGAUUUACUAGAGGUGCUAGGUUAGAACACUAGGUUUUUAUUGAGGCAGGUUUUAAUAUUGAUAGAUGCUUUUUGUUUGGUUUGCUGCUUCUGGGAGAGAGAAUGGAGGACUUAAGUAGUAAGUAGCUACUGAUAACAGACUUUCUAGUAGCAGUUUCCACUCCGCGGUUAACUUUUUAGUUUCAUAGUAUCUUUUCACAAAGUAUUACAAAUAAGCUAGAUUCUCCCAUUUUGGGAAUGCAAGUUUUACUACAUUUUUAGCCUGGCAAUAUUUGUGUAGGUAUUGCCUUAUUGGAAAUUCUGGAAACCUGAUACUGCAACCUGCAAUGUAGGAUGUUUGUAUGGCAUUUAAAGAUAACGGUGAUGUUUAUUAUUCUAUACUUUGCAUUCUGUGAGAGUAAUUUUCACUGUCUUAAAUGUGAGUAAGCCUCUUGUUCUUGUCAAGAAAUUUAUAAAUCACAUACAAAGACAUCUGUUGUUAACAGUUAAUUUUAUGAGGUAACUAUAUCCUUCUAUUUCUCUGGAUUCAUUUUUUAAAAAUAUGCAGAAUACUGCAUACUGUUUAAGAUAGUAUAUACAUUUAUGAGAGAAGUGGAGAGCUUUCUUCCUUGAAAAGUCGGUAUUUGUGGAGAUAUCAUUUGCCUCACAGAGAGAUGUUCCCCACUCCCAUCCCCAUUGCCAGAUAAUAAAUACUUUGAAAAAGUGACCUAAAACAGCUUAAAUCUUAGGUGCAUCUAUCUGCAGACCUCCUUAAGUAGGCUGCGUCUUACAGUUCUCUUACUGCAUUGGGUAAGUGUUAACUUUGUUGUUUGUUCUUUUGCUUUAAAUAUUCUCCAAAUUACCAUUUAUGCAACAAGGUCAGGGUUAAUACUGCAUGGUAUUCAUUUAUCUUGUUUCAUGAACUUUCCAGUACUGUACAAGGUUAACAAAGUAAUGCCUGUGGUAUCCUCAUCUCUCACUUUUUUACACUGUGAUCUUAGCACAGUAAGGUACUGCAAAGACCUUCCUUCCAAAUGUUCUCCCUGACUUUGCUUCUUGGGCCAAUUCAGUAUCCUCAACAUCCUAUGAUUUUGUUGUUUUAUCACUGACCUGUGGUUGGCCUGUUUUAUCCUAAUUUCCAGAAAAAUCAAGUCCUAGUAUUUGCAAUAUCAAAUAACUGUCUAAAACCAAUGUGUGAUUCUACCUUCCUUAUUAUUUUUACUGGGCAAAUGCCCUAUUUUUUUUUUUUUUUUUUUUUUAACUUUUGGGACACACACACAAAUCAGCAAUUCUCAUGAAGCGUUUGUUGGAGUGGCAGACUUGUCUAAUUCCUGAAACUCAUUCAUCCCCUUGAGCCAGCCAAUGGGGAGGAAUAGGAUAAUGCAAACACAUGUUUUGUUUUCUCAUUUUCAAAUAAUUUACCAUGUUAAACUUUUCUUUGUUUUUUAUUUGUAGAGUCAGCUAAGUACCCAUAUUUAAAUGCUGUCUUUAUCAUUUUUUUGAGGUUUUUGUCUGUUUCUUUGUUUUGUUUUUGUAAAUAAGGUAACUGGGCAAUCAAACACCUUUUGGGGAUUCUGGCUUUAGUAUUUUAUCAGCCAUUUCAAAAUUAAAUAUAAAAAUCCUUUGUAAGUAACUUGCAUCCUAAUUUUUCUUUAUUGCAGUUGAAAGUGUAAAUAAUAAGACAAUAUAAGUAAGACCUUCCUAAUGUCUAAUACAAACUGGGCUGUAGCAAGUGGCCCUAUUUUUAUUAGGGUUUUGAAGGUUUUGUGUGUGUGUGUGUGUGUGUGUGUGUGUGUGUGUGUGUGUGUGUGCGUGUGUUUUUCUUUUUUAAAUGUAUAGUAGAGUGGUGUCUGUAUAAGUGUUAACUGUAGUGGGGUUUUGUCCAGCAAGCCUGAAAUUUAUACUUUGAAAUAAAACUACUGGGUUUUUAACAUUCUG